Non-coding RNA from Solanum lycopersicum (tomato), 1343 nucleotides. NCBI's taxonomy places the organism in Eukaryota, Viridiplantae, Streptophyta, Magnoliopsida, Solanales, Solanaceae. The record is from RefSeq and is a predicted model, not a curated record.
CUCUUUUUCAUCAACUAACAGAAUUGGAAUGUAAUAUCGGAUUUUCAUGUUCAUUCCUUUGAAAAAUCUGUGCACUUCAUCAAGAAGGGGCUUACAGUCUCCAGGAUCUGUCACUGCUGUAUAAUGACAAUCAGGGCAAAGUUUCCGACCAUCAUUCAGAAUGAUAUACUUCAGGUCUCCUAUCUACAAAUAGCUGCAGCAUUGAGGAGUUCCAUCAGAUGUAUGCUUUUCACAGUAAGUUUGGCCCCAGUAUGUACACCUUGACCAAUCCGAGCAAAUCUGUACCAAACAUAACAUAAGUAUCAGGUAAACUCAUUCCGUUAUUUUCUGAUCAUUCACAGUUACAAGGAUAAAUUAUUCCAAGAAAGACUAAAGGGAAGGAUAUUUGAGGAAAGGGAACACAAACCUCCUCUUCACAAACAUCACAAACAAGAAUAUUGCACCGCUUUCUACUCUUUCUCCAGAAAGAAGUGCUCCUACAAAAUCAUAAAAAUGUGUCUGAAGAAAUAUAUGUAUUCAUAAACUGAAUAUAUCUUUGAUGCUCUCCACAGUUCUUCACAAUUUCCCACAAAUCACAAUUGAAAAAUAGCUAGCAACACUUCUGUUAUAUUAGUAUGAAACCUGCUUUAACUUAAAGCAGGACCAUAGAUCCUAACUCGACAUGAAUUAAGUAAACUUACAAAUACCAAAUCCUAAUCAAUUUUCCUUCCUGAAUUAGUUUCUGAUGGUGUCAAUAUGAUCAAAUGGAAAGCAGAAAAAAGUCAUGGCAAAAGCUACAGAUAAUUUAUUCAUUGCUGAUCUAGAAGCACUUGAAUUGUGUUACUCUUACCUUGAUGCAUGGACAAAUGGAUUUAACUCCUUGAAAAGCUUCCACCAUUUCAGUUCUCUGCCUCCAGUACUGGUGCUGUAAUGAUGUUAAUAAAUCUGAUCUUAAACUUAAUCAGCUUGCGACAAAAAGGGAGAUGAAUAGGACAAUUACAUUACAUAUGUGUGAAUUGUAAUAUGCUAGAUGAAAAUAUUCAUUUCCAUUUAUAUAUUUUUUACUGAGUAAAUCCCUGGGAGUUGGUGGUGAACAAUUCGAAAAUCUGUGGAUAAUGGUUUUCAUUUACCCCUAUAAGCACCAGGGAAUGAGAGGGCAUAUUUACCUCAAGUCUGUAGAAGAUAAUGAGGUUUCUUCCAGCGCUUGUGCAAGUUCUUCUACUUCAUCAUUCUGGGAAUACUCUGUAUCUGAGAUUUAAAAAAGUGACCAAAUGUAUACAUCAAACUACUUGCCUGAAGAUGGUAAGAAACUUCUGUUAAGCAUUUAUUUCUUCCAAAAUAUCAAAGUGAAGCUUAAAUUGAAA